RNAcentral lists this transfer RNA (118 nucleotides) under Helianthus annuus (common sunflower). RNAcentral describes it as "hypothetical non coding rna". The stretch from base 44 to 117 matches the Rfam family "tRNA". From Rfam's summary of the family: Transfer RNA (tRNA) molecules are approximately 80 nucleotides in length. Their secondary structure includes four short double-helical elements and three loops (D, anti-codon, and T loops). The record is from RNAcentral. Lineage: Eukaryota; Viridiplantae; Streptophyta; Magnoliopsida; Asterales; Asteraceae.
GGAUCUGAUCGUAGAUAGAGACUGAACCUGUGCGGGGGUAGGGGCGGAUGUAGCCAAGUGGAUCAAGGCAGUGGAUUGUGAAUCCACCACGCGCGGGUUCAAUCCCCGUCGUUCGCCC